RNAcentral lists this ribosomal RNA (492 nucleotides) under uncultured bacterium. RNAcentral's name for it is "partial 16S ribosomal RNA". It matches the Rfam family "Bacterial small subunit ribosomal RNA", at positions 29 to 507 of the family's 1533-position model. The record is from RNAcentral.
AGUGAACGCUGGCGGCAGGCCUAACACAUGCAAGUCGAACGGCAGCACAGUAAGAGCUUGCUCUUUCGGGUGGCGAGUGGCGGAUGGGUCAGGCAUACAUCGCAAUCUACUUUUUCUUGGGUGAUAACGUAGGGACUCUUACGCUAAUACCGCAUACGUCCUACGGGUGAAAGCAUGGGAUCUUCGGAUCUUGCGUGAUUCUAUGAGCCGAUGUCGGAUUAGCUAGUUGGCGGGGUAAAGGCCCACCAAGGCGACGAUCCGUAGCUGGUCUGAGAGGAUGAUCAGCCACACUGGAACUGAGACACGGUCCAGACUCCUACGGGAGGCAGCAGUGGGGAAUAUUGGACAAUGGGCGAAAGCCUGAUCCAGCCAUGCCGCGUGGGUGAAGAAGGCCUUCGGAUUGUAAAGCCCUUUUAUUGGGGAAGAAAAGCAGCAGGUUAAUACCCCGCUGUUCUGACGGUACCAAAAGAAUAAGCACCGGCUAACUUCGUG